Long non-coding RNA from Syngnathus typhle (broad-nosed pipefish), 530 nucleotides. RefSeq lists it as uncharacterized. The transcript is spliced from 3 exons. Lineage: Eukaryota; Metazoa; Chordata; Actinopteri; Syngnathiformes; Syngnathidae. The record is from RefSeq and is a predicted model, not a curated record.
CUCACACAGGGUCUCGCCUGCAGAGCCCAGAUGCUCGUCACCUGACUGGGAGGAGUUUGCGGGGUUCUGCUGCAAACAUUUUGACAAUGAAUUGAACUGGGCUGAUGCUCAACGGGUCUGCCGUGGUAUUGGUGCCAAACUGGUGUCCAUCCGCACCGAGGUGGAGCAGGCAAACCAGCGACAUGUGGACCGAACUGAACAACCUGGUGCUUCCCGGCACGUUCGUGUGGUCGGACCGCCACAAGGUGACCUUCACCCACUGGGCCAGCGUGUCAGCCUCGGUAAACACUCUGUGGCUGUGUUACGGCAGACUGGAAGAAGAUGGAAGCCAAUGUCUUGCGCCCAAGUCAACAGCUUCAUGUGCAAAAUGCCCCACAGAGCAUUUUCGAAUUGCCUCAUUGAAGCCACAGGUGGCGUCAUAGAGUCAACCUCGCUGUGUCAGUUCCAAACAUCCCAAGACCAAUCGAAGUCCAUGGAGAAAAUUAACAAUGCAAGCAAGACAUCGAAGACGAAAAUUUAAUGCCCUUCCU